Triticum aestivum (bread wheat) is the source of this 2441-nucleotide long non-coding RNA. RefSeq lists it as uncharacterized. Lineage: Eukaryota; Viridiplantae; Streptophyta; Magnoliopsida; Poales; Poaceae. The record is from RefSeq and is a predicted model, not a curated record. The transcript has 4 exons.
UGUCACGUACGCGUGUCUCUCCCACGACCCAACUCUAACCAUCUCUGACCAAUAACUAUCUAAAAGGGAUAAAACUCUCGCGUAUAUCUCUCCAGAGAGCCAAAUCUCUCAAAUUGUUAUGGUAGAGGUUUAAAUCUAACCUAGCAGCCUCCGUUUCCUUCCAUGGUUUCUACUGUCCAAGACCUCCGAUCGAUGGCAGUUGAUCGUUCUUCCCUCCUCCGGCUAGAGCACGACCAAGGAAUGACGCCUUCCAGUUUGAAGCCUACAUCGCUGGCUCUCCAUUUGAUCCACCCAUCACAAGGUACGGUACUCCAUCGACUAUCCCUCAACUGUUCUUUCAACAGCACUAGCGGCCCCAGUUUGAUUGGAUGAAACCGUAUAAUUCUGGGUUGUUUCCAUGGCACUACAUGUACAGGUAUUGCUUAUUUGUGUGAUUUGGAGCCAUGGAGACAACAAUCCAUGAUAGCUCAUGGCUUCAUAUGCAAUUUCGUUCAAAUCUUUAGUCCCUGGCGAGUUUGACCAAGAUCUGAUGGAUUAGUUACUCUCUCUCUUAUCACACGUGCUGAUUUCUCUAUGCUGAGUUUGACCAAGAUCUGAUGGAUUAGUUACUCUCUCUCUUUUAUCACACGUGCUGAUUUAUCUAUGCUGAUUUGUCACAUGCAUAUUUACUUGAACCAUUCUUACUAUUACAGUGGCACAACUAAUCACGUAUAGUUAUCUACCGAUGCAUAUUGGCUCAUCCGAAAGAAAAUUGUUCAUCCACCAGACUGGGUUUAUUGCGAGUCCAAUACUGGCGGUGCCGAGUCCAAUACCGACUGCUCUGUUGCUUCUCAUCGCUGGCAUGUGUAUGGCGCCAUGCCAGUAUGCAACAACAAUCCUGGUGCCCGUAUGAAUAACUCUUGAUGUAGGUAUAUGUUGAAUCUCCAGUCUGCACACGAUCUUUCUUGAUUAGGCAUAGCAUGCGUGCAUUGGAGAAAUAUUAAUAUAAUGUAAUAAAAGAAACAUGUGUGUAUAUACUGUUUGCAUCCGAGUUGAGGUGUUUUGCUCAUGUUUUAUUUUGCACAGUGGUCAUCGACCGGUUAUAGGUUGCUCCAGGCCUCGAAGGCCCGGCGGUACUGCUCCUCCACAUGGAGAGCUGAUGGUGCUGCUGCUCCUCGGCACCUUUGAGCGGUCUGUUAAUAGGAGGCGUGAGGCAAGCUGCAAGACUUCACGGCACCUUUGAGUGGUCUGCUAAUAGAAGGCAUGAGGCGAGCUGCAAGAUUUCAGGCACAUAAACAGCGCAAUGGCAAGAGCUAUAUAAUAUCACAUUGAUAUUCUGGACCCCGCAGGAGAAUAUAUAUUUAAGUGGUGUACAUGUACUAUGUAUAACUAGAAGAAGAUUACUAUAUUUGUGACUACACUAGAAAUUUAUAGUUGUUGCAGCACGUGGUUAGUUUACAAUAUCACGGUGGUGGUCAUCGACCAGUUAUAGGGUGCUCCAGUGCUCGAAGGCCCGGCGGUACUGCUCCUCGACAGGGAGAGCUGGUGGUGUUGCUGCUCCUCGGCACCUUGGAGCGGUCUGCUAAUAUGAGGCGUGAGGCGAGCUGCAAGACUUCAAGCACACAAACAGCACAAAAGCAAGAGCUAUACAAUAUCACAUUGAUACGUAUGUAUUCUCCUUUUUGUAGGACCAUAAAUUUCUUCUAAUCGCUCAAUCUCUAGAUAUUUAUACACUUGAUUCAUAUUUUUCUUUUUUCAGAUAUUCUGCACCCCGCAGGAGACAUUAUAUAUUUAAGUGGUGUAUACAUCUACUAUAUAUACCUACAAGAUUACCUAUGUUUGCGACUCUACAAGUACUGGAAAAAAAAUUGAACUAGAAAUUUAUAGAUCCUGCAUCACGUGGUUAGGUUUUUGUUUUCUACUUGCCAACAAUACUUGAUGAAUUAGGAUAUUGGCUAUUUACAAGGAACGGUCAGCCAGAUCAGUUAGCUUUAUCAUAUUAUAUACUUGGAACUGAUUUUUUUUUUUCAGAUUCUAUUCCUAAAUGGUUCAUGGCUACACGUCCCGUUUUCAGGAUUAUUCUGUCCAUGCCUUGGCUUUCACCUAGAUGGACAAGAGUCUGUUCUUUAGUGAGACGCCCAGCUGCAAGUUGUUGUUUGACCAGUUGUGAGGUGUCUCAGAGGCACCAAAUGGAUGUUCAUAAUGUUCAUCUAUCUACAUAUCAUGUGGUACACGGCCCAGAAAGAAGCAGUACGAUGGUUGGUCCAAAACUAAGCUCAUUCUUAGCAUGGGAUCACUGCCGAGAUUUCUUUCUCUUGACAAGCAGCAUCAUUGCUUACACCAGGAGUUCUUUAGCGGCGGCAAAGAGUCGAGGUGCAGCAAUACUGAUGCAUCAUGCAAUGCCAAGUGAACAAAUGGUGUCUCUCGGGAAAUUACGGGGACGGAUACGAGCACUAUGUACC